This 456-nucleotide ribosomal RNA is filed under the name uncultured bacterium. Its description in RNAcentral is "bacterial SSU rRNA". It matches the Rfam family "Bacterial small subunit ribosomal RNA", at positions 335 to 784 of the family's 1533-position model. The record is from RNAcentral.
ACUCCUACGGGAGGCAGCAGUAGGGAAUCUUCGGCAAUGGGGGCAACCCUGACCGAGCAACGCCGCGUGAGUGAAGAAGGUUUUCGGAUCGUAAAACUCUGUUGUUAGAGAAGAACGUUAAGUAGAGUGGAAAAUUACUUAAGUGACGGUAUCUAACCAGAAAGGGACGGCUAACUACGUGCCAGCAGCCGCGGUAAUACGUAGGUCCAAGCGUUGUCCGGAUUUAUUGGGCGUAAAGCGAGCGCAGGUGGUUUCUUAAGUCUGAUGUAAAAGGCAGUGGCUCAACCAUUGUGUGCAUUGGAAACUGGGAGACUUGAGUGCAGGAGAGGAGAGUGGAAUUCCAUGUGUAGCGGUGAAAUGCGUAGAUAUAUGGAGGAACACCGGAGGCGAAAGCGGCUCUCUGGCCUGUAACUGACACUGAGGCUCGAAAGCGUGGGGAGCAAACAGGAUUAGAUA